RNAcentral lists this ribosomal RNA (427 nucleotides) under uncultured bacterium. RNAcentral's name for it is "bacterial SSU rRNA". It matches the Rfam family "Bacterial small subunit ribosomal RNA", at positions 355 to 774 of the family's 1533-position model. The record is from RNAcentral.
UGGGGAAUUUUGGACAAUGGGGGCAACCCUGAUCCAGCCAUUCCGCGUGAGUGAAGAAGGCCUUCGGGUUGUAAAGCUCUUUCGGCAGGAACGAAACGGCGAGCUCUAACAUAGCUUGCUAAUGACGGUACCUGAAGAAGAAGCACCGGCUAACUACGUGCCAGCAGCCGCGGUAAUACGUAGGGUGCGAGCGUUAAUCGGAAUUACUGGGCGUAAAGCGUGCGCAGGCGGUUGUGUAAGACAGGUGUGAAAUCCCCGGGCUUAACCUGGGAACUGCGCUUGUGACUGCACGGCUAGAGUAUGGCAGAGGGGGGUGGAAUUCCACGUGUAGCAGUGAAAUGCGUAGAGAUGUGGAGGAACACCGAUGGCGAAGGCAGCCCCCUGGGCCAAUACUGACGCUCAUGCACGAAAGCGUGGGGAGCAAACA